RNAcentral lists this transfer RNA (74 nucleotides) under Danio rerio (zebrafish). It matches the Rfam family "tRNA". From Rfam's summary of the family: Transfer RNA (tRNA) molecules are approximately 80 nucleotides in length. Their secondary structure includes four short double-helical elements and three loops (D, anti-codon, and T loops). Further hydrogen bonds mediate the characteristic L-shaped molecular structure. tRNAs have two regions of fundamental functional importance: the anti-codon, which is responsible for specific mRNA codon recognition, and the 3' end, to which the tRNAs corresponding amino acid is attached (by aminoacyl-tRNA synthetases). tRNAs cope with the degeneracy of the genetic code in two manners: having more than one tRNA (with a specific anti-codon) for a particular amino acid; and 'wobble' base-pairing, i.e. permitting non-standard base-pairing at the 3rd anti-codon position. Lineage: Eukaryota; Metazoa; Chordata; Actinopteri; Cypriniformes; Danionidae. The record is from Rfam by way of RNAcentral.
AUUUCUGUGGUGUGAUCGGUUAGCGUUUUCAGCUGUUAACUGAAAGGUUGGUGGUUCAAGCCCAACCAGGGAUG